GGAGGUGUGUCGCGUGACUAACUGACUCGAUAAAAGUCUGUAAAAGUUUGUAUUAAAGUGUGUUUAAGUAUACAAUCGGUGCUGUGAGACGGUCUGUCCCACCGUCUGUGCCUGGACAUUAUCUACAUAUCUUCUGUGAGCUACUGGAGCGUGUUGAACAGUUUUUCACGAGAUCCAUAGUGGUUCCAAACUGCGCUAUAAGCUACCCAGAGACAGACCACCUUCGCCGGCUCGUAUGAGAGGCUUCUUCCCGCUCAACUGACGUCACAGUCGUAAUAAGGUGAUCUGCAGCUUCUCUCCGCUAACCCGAACCCCCCGAUGGCGGGGUCCCACUUGGAAAAGUAGACCCCCUUCAACAAGUUAUCUCCAUGCGGAUGCAGAUGAUAUAUAUAUAUAUCAUAUAUAUAUAUAAAUAUGGCUGUGGAACUGUGCGCACCUGAAGCUCUGUGCGGGGUUAGUAUUGGGGUGGGGGUGCGUUAAGGUUGAAUGUAAUUGACACAUAUUAAUCCUAAUUUAAUAUUAAUAUUAAUAUUAAUCUAACGCUGGUCAACAUAAUUCGAAGGACUUCCUAAGAGAAAUAGCAUCCAUUAAUUGAUCACUAAUAGAUUAAAACAGCAUUCUAAUUAUAAAAUAAAUUUAAAUUUAAUUUAGGUAAUGAAAUAACAAUCAUAACAAUAUGCAUUUAAUGUUUUAUAAUAUGUACAGUAUAAAAUAUUAAUUAUAAGCAGUAAAACGUUGCUUUAUAAAUCAGCACAAGUGACAAUAAAUUCAUUUUUAAAAUCCAUUUAUGAUAUUUCGUCACUAAAUGAGCAUGUUUAUGCAUGUGUGAGUGCGCGGCAACGCUGUGUGUCAAAACACGUCGACGGGUGACUCCCUGCGUCUCUUUAUUGCGCCUCCUAUCGCGGCGCAAAAUGAGACUCGCAACAGCGGAGCAGACAGUAACGGGCUGUCUGGGCUCCUUUACGCACUCACCAAUAAACUGCAAGUAUAUUCCUCCCCGGAUUUACAUCCCAUAGACGGUAAACGAUCGUAAACCGGGGGCCCUUAAACGUGGCUGCGCCGGCGCCAAUCGCAAUGCGCUUCUAUCAUGUUCAUGUCUGUUUUAAUAUCACCAAAUGGUCCAUCAGACUCUUUCACUUAAUGGAAUGGAGUGUUUUGUUUAGCCGAGAUGCGCAAGGCGUAAACUAAAUAACGUCGGUGAUGUCAAAAUAAGGCAAAAAACGGUUGCUUAGAAAUCAAAUCCGCUACAAGACAAGUGCGUGUGUGCUGUGCAAGGCCAAGCCGUAAUGUAUGCGGCUAAACCGGAGUUCAACUUUAACCUUCUGACCUCCGUCUUGCCUCCGGAUAACGAUGACCCGGUCAUCGCGAAAGAUGCACACUUCACUGAGGUGUUUUUUUUUAAUCCAUUUAUUUUUCCUACGUGGUUUUGUUCAAUAUAUGUAAAAAAAACUAUUAUAACUAUUUAUUCGUUUUUUUGUAAUAUUAUUGUGCUUUUAGUGAAGUAAAAAUACACACACUGAGAGCUCUUUUGAAAGAAAUAUAUUGUUUUUAACUUAUUUUUUCAGUUUUUCACUUCUUUUAAUUUAACUUAAUUUAUUUUCAAUUUCAAUUACAGUUGUGACAAUUUUCUAAGAGUUUUUUUCCUCGGUAAAUAUAGUUAAAAAAAAUAUCAACAAAAUGUGCGAAAAGAGGACUUUGGGUGAACUAUCACUUUCAUUUCAUGGCGUGGCAGCCUCAGCACUUAAAUUGAUGAAGCGCAUUGUUUGCUCAGACCUGACAUUUACUUCCAGAGCAUUUGAGUGUGACGUCGCUCUGAUGAAUUUUUGCACUUGUGUAAUUUGUGUGUGUGUGUGUGUGAAGAUGGAUGCUGGGCCCAUGAGAAUGACAACUCACACAUGAGGUGGAUGAAAAAGGCCAAAUUAAAUCCAAAAGAGUCAGAAUCCUGCCACCCCGCCCCCUCCUAAAAUCGCAAAUUUUUCAUAUUGAAAUAUGCAGCAAAACUAUUUUAAUUAAAUGUAUCAAUUUAAAUGAAUUGUAAACAUCAUCAUUCAGACAGGAAUUGUUGAUUUGAGGUUAUUUGCUAUAUAAGCUAUAAUAUAUAAACUAUACCUGUAUAGAGUAUUGCUGUACUGU
Molecule: non-coding RNA, 2133 nt
Organism: Doryrhamphus excisus (bluestripe pipefish)
Lineage: Eukaryota; Metazoa; Chordata; Actinopteri; Syngnathiformes; Syngnathidae
Source: RefSeq, a predicted model, not a curated record